Non-coding RNA from Lolium perenne, 1637 nucleotides. The record is from RefSeq and is a predicted model, not a curated record. Lineage: Eukaryota; Viridiplantae; Streptophyta; Magnoliopsida; Poales; Poaceae.
AAAAGAAGCAACAGUCGGGCCUCCUUCCAUGGAACCCUAGCAUAGGGUCCUGCCGCCGCCCCUCGUCUCGCCCCUGCGAGUAGGGCGUGGUCGCCCUCCUCCUUCCAGAUCGCCUCCAGCCGGGCGUGGUCUUGGAGCGCCGCCGCCGAUGUUUCCCAGCGCAUCAAGAAGGAUCUGCCGCAGCAGGACCCGUGCAAGUUGGCUCUGGGGCGGAGGUUUCCGUACAAACUGUUGCAGGAGCGCAGGGGAGGGGCACUCGAGCAGUCGAGCGUGGCAGGGAGAGGAGGGACCACAAGUCGCGGCGGCGGCCAUAAAGGUCAUCUUGCCGGGCUGGAGCACCUCCGCCGCGUCAUGGCGCACAACCAGCUGCCGGCCGUCGGGAUGCAGGGGAGGGCCGAUGGUGGUCGCGGUGUCGAGGAGACCGGUGUAUUAGGAAGAUGCGCUUGAGAUUGAGGUUGAACAGAUCCAGGCCCACGAGCGCCGCACCACCUGCUCCGGCAAGCGCCCCCGCACUGACCCUGUCCCACUCUCCCAAUUCAACGACAACCAGCUCAUCUCAGCCUGCUGGAGUGGACGAGCCAGGUCAGGGAAUCGGCAAACGGGUAUUUUCUGGCUGCAACUACGGGGGGCGGGGAGGCGACAGAGGCACGGUACAAUCCUGCCUGUUUUUCCUCCGCAGGGCGGCGCAACGCUGGGGCAUCUGGCUCUUCUUCCUGCCCAGGGGCAUGACAAGGAGAGAGAAGAACCGUUCGCGGCACUUCUACAGAAAGGACUGCAUGUACUGGACACUUGAAUGGAUGCCUCAUUCGACAGAUAUUGUCCUAACUGAUCAUCAGUAAGUUUAUGCUAAUCUUUUGGCACUGAAUGCUCCUACUAUUUUUCCAGUAUAGAACGCCUUGUUACCGUAGCAACGUUUCAAUAUUUCAACAUAUGUACGCAAGAUCUGUCUAUCAUUCUCAACUUGCUAUUUGAAGAUUUCAACAUGGACAGCUUAAAUUUCCUCCUAUUGCAAGUAUGUUGGUGUUGCAACUUUUGGGAACACUGGUCCGAUGUGCUUCUUUACAUCGAAACAACAUGAUGCCUAAGAAACUAUAUGGCUUAUAUCUAGGAACGGAGGAAGUUUAUAAGUAAUAUAAUGGAGGGAUUCAUCUUCAGCUCUAAUCAAUAUCCAGGUUUUCUGAACAUGGAGGAUAGAUCCACGCUGUGAUUGGAGCAGGCAGGAAAACGGAGUAGAGGGAUGCUGCAUUGGCUUGUGUCCGGAGAGAUGUCUAAACCACUAAAAAGGAUUGACCUAUAACUGCAACAAGUGGCUCUUCGUUAAGGACCCCAUAAAUUUGUGGUUGUUGCUUCUGGGGGUAUUUAAUACAGGACAAGGUUGGGUGUCGAAGAACUUGCGGAGAAAUGUGCUGGUGUGUGCGCCAUUUUGUGUUGGAUAUACAAUUGCCUUUGGUUUUGGGAACAUUGUCAGGGGCUAAGGGAAGGUUGUGGCGGCUUCCCAAAACUUUUGUGGCCCCUGGUAAUCUUUUUUUUCCUUUUAUCGUCUUAUUUAUUCCUUGAAGUAAUAUAUUUCAAUUUUGUUAAUCAAACCGAGGAGUAAAUCCAUGAAACAAGUGAUUUCAAAAUCACAUAUUUGCGAA